AGAAUCUUGGAGAUUCCUAUCUACUGGAGGCCUUCUAAUGCCCUGAAGCAAGGCAGCAUCUGGAGAAUGGACAGCUUAGGCAGCUGGAGGCAGGAGACCAUGUCUAUCCCACAGCUGCAGAGGUUAAGCAGCUUUCUACUGAUUGCCAAUCAUGGCUUUGAACAUAAAGAGAAUCUUUGACGGGAACGGUGUUCCCUUGGGGUCUGUAUUGAGGCCAGCCCUGUUCAACAUCUUUGCUGAUUAUCUGGACAAAGGGAUUGAGUGCAUCCUCGCUCGACUUUAAUGAAAGUUCGCCUCUGGGAUCCUCAGCUCAUGGUUGAACAAAGCUGGAGCCAUCUGUGCAGCUACUUCUACCAUCAGAGGAGCAGAUGCUGUUUCAAUGCAGCAUCCUAGAAGGCCACAGGAGGCUGAAAAUGGAAUCUGUAUGAUAAAAAUAAGAAAUCAGUCUUUCUUUUUCUUUCUUUCUUCUGCCCCUCUCCCCCCAUUUGUCUCCAAUCUAUUAAAAUACUUGUGAAUCUUCCUGGAGAUUUACCGGCAUUAAUUCCAGCAGGACAAACCCUCAUCAUUUUUCUCUAUUCAGUUAAACCUAACACCACUGCCGUCAUCACUAACAGGUUAAACAGAGCUAAAUACAUCAUCUUAUUGUGAAUUACAUACAAUUUGGCCUUUGUUUUUCUUCUGUGGGCAGUGAUAUCUGCUUUCUACUCUGAAUUUGUCAUUAGUAAACUAGAACUUACCCGGUGAGAGCUGUUAAGUGCUUGUAUAAAGCAAUCAGUCAGAAAACGUUACCAAAGAAUGUCAGCAGGUGGGUCCCAGAGAUAUUACAGAGAGUUACAACCAUUUCUAAAUUGGAGGUGAAAAUUGCAGUUCUCACCACUGUUCACUGCACAAUCUGGCUUCUAAAAAUGCUGGCAAACAGAAAUUCAGCACUGCCAACUGCAAUUGUAUCAUGAGUUGAUGAUACUAAGUAUUGAAUGAAGUCCCCACUCCUGCAAGCAUCUGGAUUAGAUGAAGAUCUCAACUUUCAUUCUGUAUAAAAGCCCCGUGAGUCUAACACACGUGGUUAGAAAAGUCGGACCAAGCAUGAGUGUCAUUUCACCCAGUUUUAUUGUCUGCAAUUUAGACAUCUGCUCUGAGCUGUUAGGUCAUCUGUCCUAACAGUGGGGAGAGUGACAAAUCGAGGUGGCUGCGUGCCCCUGUCAGCACUCCAGCAUCACAUCUCCUACCACCAGGUGGUUGCGGGUGCUGGCUGUGCAACAGAACACAUCAGCUGCCUGGCUAAAAGCUGAGGGCUAUGAAAGUAGUAAAGCUGAUCCCACUGGUGCCAGGUGAUAUAAAAGCAGACGACUACACACAGUUACAUGGCAGAUUUCACUUAGCCUUUGUGCCAUGUCAAUAGUGGGGCUGGAGUAGGUGACAUUCAGAGUUCCUCCAGCUUCGGUCUAGAGAUAUCAUGACACCCUCACUCCAAAGGCAGUGGAUUUCCUGUGGGUGGUUACAUACACCCUAUCCAGAGAAGAUAUUCCAGAGAACUAUCCACACCACGCUCCUAAAGCAAUGAUGGGAGUUGGCAGAGAGCCUUCACUUGGAGAGGCAAGAAUUGUGCCCAAGUGUGGGUACAUGCUCUGUUUUGGAUUUUAGUACCCCCCUAUAGAUUACACUUUCUUAUAGCAGCUGUGAAAUGUCAUAAUGCUUCAAAAGAUCCCUUCAAAAAAUAAAAUAAAAUAAAACGGUGGUAGUUUUUUUGUAUCCAAGGUUCUUGAGUAUCCAAGAUCCUCUCCUCUCUUGGAUCUUGGAAGAGAGGAGCAGCUGCUGUGAAUGAAGGAUGCCAGAUGGGAAAAUAACCACACAGAAAUACAGUGUGAAACACUGCAAUAGGAGUACUGGCUCUUUGGGUACAUGGGGACCUCAGGAGGCAGACAUAGCUGCAGACCAGGUGUAUCAAAAGCCUGUCAUAUAUCUGUAAUUACUAAAUGUUUA
This is a long non-coding RNA of Lagopus muta (rock ptarmigan), 1980 nucleotides long. RefSeq lists it as uncharacterized. NCBI's taxonomy places the organism in Eukaryota, Metazoa, Chordata, Aves, Galliformes, Phasianidae. The transcript has 4 exons. The record is from RefSeq and is a predicted model, not a curated record.